Non-coding RNA from Brassica napus (rape), 643 nucleotides. NCBI's taxonomy places the organism in Eukaryota, Viridiplantae, Streptophyta, Magnoliopsida, Brassicales, Brassicaceae. The record is from Rfam.
CGACCCCAGGUCAGGCGGGAUCACUUGCUGAGUUUAAGCAUAUCAAUAAGCGAAGGAAAAGAAACUAACAAGGAUUUCCUUAGUAACGGCGAGCGAACCGGGAAUAGCCCAUCUUGAAAGUCAGACGUUUUCGGCGUUCGAAUUGUAGUCUGGAGAAGCGUCCUCAGCGGCGGGUCAGGCCCAAGUUCCCUGGAAAGGGGCGCCAGAGAGGGUGAGAUCCCUGUCGUGCCCAGACCCUAUCGCACCACGAGGCAAUAUCUACGAGUCGGGUUGUUUGGGAUUGCAGCCCCAAUCGAGCGGUAAAUUCUGUCCAAGGCUAAAUGUGGGCGAGAGACCGAUAGCAAACAAGUACCACGAGGUAAAGAUGAAAAGGACUUUGAAAAAAGAGUCAAAGAGUGCUUGAAAUUGUCGGGAGGGAAGCGGAUGGGGGCCGCCGAUUCGUCCCGUUCGGAUGCGGAACGGAGCAAUCCGGUCAGCCAAUCAAUUCGGGCCAUGGACCAACGCUGAUUAAGGUGGUGACCUAAGCCCGGGCUUUUGUUACGCCCACGGAGACGUCACUGCCUUAAUCGUGGUCUGCAGCACGCGCCUCACGGCGUGCCUUGGCAUCUGCGUGCUCAGGACGGAGCCUGACAUGUGUGCGAGG